Molecule: long non-coding RNA, 2750 nt
Filed under: Homo sapiens (human)
Lineage: Eukaryota; Metazoa; Chordata; Mammalia; Primates; Hominidae
Source: RNAcentral
UUCUACACUGUGGAAGCUGUGUUCUUUCGCUCUUUGCAAUAAAUCCUGCUGCUGCUCGCUCUUUGGGUCCGCAUUGCUUCUGUGAGCUGUAACACUCACCACGAAGGUCUGCAGCUUUACUCCUGAAGCCAGCGAGACCAUGAACCCACCAGAAGGAAGAAACUCCGAACACAUCCAAACAUCAGAAGGAACAAACUCCAGACGCGCCGCCUUAAGAGCUGUAACACUCACCGCCAGGGUCUGCGGCUUCAUUCCUGAAGUCAGUGAGAGCAAGAACCCACCAAUUCCGGACACACUGAGGACAAAUUGUUAUACAUGUUAUUUCCCAUGUCCACAACUCCCUGCAAGGUAAAUACUUGAGAAUUUGGCAGUCACGUUUUUUCCAAAUGGACAGAAAACAUACAAUUGCUGAUGGAUUGGUUUGAAUGCAAGAAGCAGCCAGCAACUGCCAUUCAUGAGGAUCGUAUACAGCAUGUAGGACGCGCCUGCUUCCCCUUUGCCUUCUGCCAUGAUUGUAAGUUUCCUGAGGCCUCCCCAGCCAUGCCUUCUGUACAGCCUGCAGAACUGGAGAUGACCUGGAAAUUGCAGAAGCUUCAUGAAAGUCAAGAUUGCCUCUAAAUAGGAUGAAGAAGUAUAGAAAUGAAGCCAAGAUGUCUGUUGUAAACAUUACUUAGUAAUCGUAAGAAAGCUCCAAUUUUAAGAGUUUAUUUUCCAUCCUGCAAAAUAAUGUACCUGUGCUCAAAUCAAAACGUUAGAAUCAAAUAUCUCACUGUCAGUACCAUUUGUAAAACUGUCAUCUCACUGUACUAACCAUGGAGUUUGAUGCUAUGACUGUGGAGACAAAAGCCAGCAUUCCUUUCCUCAAAAGUUAUCUGACUGAAUUCCCACAAAUAUAGUUCAGAAAGCAAGCAGAAAUAGGUGACAUGCACUGAGAGGGGUCAUUGUAGAAGCUCAUGAAAAGAUAACCUAACCCACGUUGAAGGUAUAAUGGAAACUCUUCUGUGAGAGGUAAUAUUGGAGCUCAAUACUUAAGUAUUUGUAAGAAAUACCCAGAUAUAGGAGAGAGAAUGUACAUUUCAGAUAAAGCAAUGUGUAAAAAUACUGAGAUGUUUGAUUAACAUAUGUUGUGUUUGCAUUUGAACAGCUGCAAGUUGCUCAGCAUGUGUCAUUAAGGUGCCUGUGAGGAAAGUAAUCAACAGGGCUGGAAAGUUAGGCAACAGUGAGCGGUAAAGGUCUUAUUAAUUCAAGAACUAUGAAAAUAUAACAGAGGCCAUGAUGAUUCAAAAUUUCUAUGUGGAAAUAUUUUAGGAGUGUCAAACUUGAAUACACAGGGAGGUACUGUUAAGGUAUUAUUUGGAAGAUAAGCUUGCAUAUUAAACAUUCUGUUCUUAGAAUAUCUGUUUCUUUUUCUGCCAGAUUUGGGAAGAUCCUGACUUUAUAUGAUAUUGAUACAGCCACUCUUUGUUAGGAUUAUUCUUUAGAUAGUAUGUCUUUUCCUAUUAUUUUACUUUCACCAAUAUGUCUUCAUUUUUAUUGUUUAUUUCUAGUAGACAGGAAGUGCAUCGUUGUGUUUUUUUAAUACAAUCUAUCCCUUUUAACUGGACUGUUUAGACCACUUAUAUUUAGUGAUAUGGUUCGAUUUAAAUGUACCAUCAUGCUCUAUGUGUUAUGUUAGUCCCAACUGGCCUUUGUUCCUUAUUUCUUUUUCUCUGCCAUAUUUUAUCAAACAAGACUUAAUUAUUAUUUUAGAUUGAGGGGAUACAUGUGCAGGUUUGUUACACGGGUAUAUUGUGUGAUGCUAAGGUUUGAGCUUCUAAUGAUCUCAUCAUCCAAGCAAUGAACAAAGUACCCUAUAGGUUAGUUUUUCAACUCUUCUCCCCUCUCUCCCUCCAUCCUUUUGGAAUCCCCAAAAGAGGAUUUCUGCUUGCUUUCUGAACUAUAUUUUUGGGAAUACAGUCAAAGAACUUUUGAGGAAAGGAAUGCUGGUUUUUGUCUCCACAGUCAUAGCAUCUGUUCCCAUCUAGCAUUGUUGCCAUCUUUGUGUUUGUGAGUACCCAACGUAUUUGGUUUUCUGUUCCUGCAUUAAUUUAUUUAGGAUAAUAACCUCUAGCUUCAUACAUGUUGCUGCAAAGGACAUGAUUUUGUUUUUGUUUUUUUAUGACUGUGUAGUAUUCCUUGGUGUAUAUGUGCACAUUAUCUUUAUCCAAUUCACCGGUGAUGGGCAGUUGGGUUGAUUCCAUGUCUUUGCUACUGUGAAUAGUGCUACAAUGCACAUAUGACUGCAGGUGUCUUUUCAGUAGAACGAUUUAUUUUCAUUUAGAUAUAUACCCAGUUAUAGAAUUCCCGGGGUAAAUGACAGUUUUACUUUUAGUUCUUUGCAAAAAUCUCCAAACUUCUUUCCACAGGAUCUGGACUAAUUUGCAUUCUCACCAGCAGUGAAUGUGUUCCCUUAUCUCCGCAACCUUGCCAACAUUUGUUAUUUUUUUGACUUCAUAAUAAUAGCCAUUCUACUGAUGUGAGAGAUGGUAUCUUGUGGUUUUGAUUUGCAUCUCUUUAAUGAUUAAUGAUGCUGGGCAUUUUUUUUCAUGUUUGUUGGCUGCUUGUGUAUCUUCUUUUUUGAAGUGUCUAUUCAUGUCCUUUGCCAACUUUUUAUUUGAGUUAAUUUUUUUCUUGUUGAUUUUAAAGAAGAUUCCUGGAUAUUUAAUUUUAUCUCUUCUAUUGACUCAAUUCACCUUUUAAUUUUAUUUUAG